ACAAGUCCCAAAUUAAACCCUGGGCAGACAUGUCAAGCCAGCUAGAGCGAAACCGAUGAGACGAGCAAUUAAAACCUGAAUAACCUGAAAAACGAAACACAGCAAAAAAAGUGGGUUCUGUAAAACAAAACCAAAAAAAGGUUGGGUUUCCUUUAAUUGGUCGACAGGGGGGUGGCGACGGCGACACAUGCUAAAGAGACAGAUUUUUCUUAUUUAAUAUUAAUUAAAUGUAAUAGUUUUUGCCAAUAGUAGCGCUCUCAUACUGUUGCCAUGGGUUGCGUUUACGCCAUUUUCGGACCUGUUAUAUUCAAAUUUUAAUCUUAAACUCUAGUCAUUUUGUAUAUAUAUCACUGAGUGUCAUUUGUUUUAUUUUAGAACAGUACGGCUGGCGUUUCAUGAAGUCUGUAGUGUGUGGAAAUCAGCUUGUUGUGAGGCAAGGUUUUUUAGCGAGUUUUUCGGUACGAAAAUCCCGCCUGUGGCCAGAAAAUACGCACGUGAAAGUUCCAGAAACUCUCGCCGUUUUCUCCAUGCGCAGGUAAAAAUAAGGAAAACUGCCCCCAUGUACAAAAUGUUGCUUUCAGGGCUGUUUCUAGUUAAGCCUGCAUGUCUUGCGUGGACUGUUAAAUGCAAAAAACUGAAAGUCUGCUUGGGUAUUUGAUGGACAUUUCAAGGUGGUUAAGCUGAAAGGCUAAAUCGUUAACGUUACCGAAAAAUGUCCCAAGUUCCCUAUGUAGUGAAUUGAUCAGAUAAGAUAAGCCUUAAUAAAAUUUCCCACAAUUGGGAAAUUUGCAUUGUUGCAGCAGCAAAAUGGACAAUCAAAGAAGAGUAAAUGCAGCACAACCUGUAAGCUAUAUAGCAACUAUUCAUUAUUCAGUAUAUAUGUGAAUAUAUACAAAAGUGUAUAUGUAAAGACGCCUGGUAGCAGCAACAUAUUAUUUAUGACCGUUACUUGCUGCUUCAUUAGUUUAGUUAAUACUAGUCAGCCAAGCGACAUUACAUGCAACACAAAACCUUUCAUCUGUUUGCCAAGUCAAAGUAUUAUUUUAUAUAGAUUGUCUGGUUUUACUUUUCAUUUUCUGUAGGAAGCCAUUACUGGCCAAGAUGACGAUCGAUGAUAGAUAAAAGCCGGAAUCGACUCUUUAGCCAAAGAUGACUGUGGCAACAGCGCUUUCUGAUCCGCCAUACAUCAAAGACACUGAUUAAUACGAAAUAAAAAAUUUAAGGACGGCAGUAGAAAAAAAAUAGGAAAUAAAUAGGAAUUUCCAUUAUGCAAUCCAUCUUUUGUGUUUAUAAUCUAGUAUAAGUUUUUCCAGUGUAAAGAAAGUUUCAUUGUGAUUAUGAGUAGAUCAGACUGGAACAAAAUGGACUUAACUUCCCUGGUGUUUCAUCAUUAAGUGGUUUGUCGGCCCCUGUGACUUACGUCGCAGCUUUCGCUAAAAGGGAAGGAACAAGAAGUCUUCAUAUAGCACUAAAUCACUGGACAGUGCUUCACAUUUCCACACACCCCUGAACCGGUUGCAUUACGUCCUCUCACUUGUUUAGUUCAACUUAGAGGGGAAAAACAUUUGUCUACAGAAAUAGAUCUUAAGGCCUCUGUGGAAGUGAAGUGUUGCGAAUACCUUGGCGUACAGCAUGACGAGAGAACGUCACUGCCGGAGUUUCUGUGUUUUGAAGAAGGAUAAACAAUCGGGUCAGACGAGAUGGCUGUGGGCCGCCUUUCCCUAAAAGACAUGGCUGCCGCGCCAGCGCUGAAGCAGUCCGCAGGAGCGCGUCUGUGAUGGCGGCAGGAUUGCAGCUCGGCGGCCAGACCGAGCCCAGCUUGAGGGUGCUGAGGCAGUGCAGGGUCGUGCUUGUAGACCAGCUGGAGGAGCACAUCGGGUCCCUGCUGGAGCAGCUGCUGCUGAGGGACGUUUUCACCCGGGACGACCGGGAGGAAGUCCUGUGUGAGGGGGGACCUCGGGCCCAGGUCCGAAAAACGCUGGACAUUGUGGACUGCAAGGGGGAGGAGGCCGCAGCAGAGUUUCGCCUUCUGUGCAGCCGCCUGAAGGAGCCUGGACCAGUGAAGCAGCAACAACCAGAUAACUACAGUAAACUGAUACAAAGGCACAAACAGACCCUCAAACGGAGAAGUGAAUAUAUGCUUUACUACAACACUCGCCAUGGUGAGAAAAUCCUCUUCUCUGAACACUACAUCAAUCUCUUGCUUAUGAAAGGACAUCGCAGCCUUGAGCUCAAAAAGCAUGAAAUUGUAGCUUUUGGACAACAGCGCAUUUCCCUGCAGUGUCACGCAUUUGAACAGAAAGUGAUUAAAUCGACAGACCUGUUUUCGGAUACAGCUGGAAGCCGACCAGCCAAGAAGAUUCUUGUAACGGGUGUAGCAGGUAUUGGUAAAACGGUUCUGGUCCAGAAGAUUCUGAGUGAUUUUGGAAACAACCAGGCGCAUUUGGGCUUUGACUUUGUUAUCCACCUGACCUUCAGGGACCUAAAUUUAAUCAAACAGCCAAUCAGCCUUCGGGAACUUCUUCUACAAAAAAAUGGCCAUCUUGCCAAGGAGAUGGACACCAUCCUGUCCAAUGAAGACAAGCUGCUGAUCGUGUUGGAUGGGUUUGACGAGUUCAGGCAUUACAGAGAGUGUGAGGUUGAGGAGUUUGUGACAGAGCCUGAUGAGAAGGAAGAGGUGGUGAAGGUGCUGUCCAGUCUGAUGCAGAGUGAGCUCCUUCCAGAGGCGUCUGUGCUGCUCACAAGUCGACCUACUGCCAUUAGCCACAUACCUAUUGGCUGUAUCGACUACUUUGUGCUCCUUACUGGCUUCUCCAUGGCAGAAAUUGAAGACUUUUUCCUCCGAUACUUUGAAGAACAAACUCUUGCCCUGAAGAUGUUCAAUUUUGUAAAAGCUAACAAUCCACUGCUGACCCUGUGCUAUAUACCUGCAUUCUGCUACAUUGUGUGCACCGUUUUGAAUGACAGUGAUGGCUUCUCUAGCGGGACGCCAAAAACCAUGACCGACGUCUACACGCAGUACUUGGUGGCCCUGCUGCGGUCACACUCUCGGCCCAGGUUGGGGUUACCCCACGCUAAUGCUGAGAGGUCAGAACAACUGUCUGAGACGAUUUCCAGCUUGGGCAGGAUAGCCUAUGUCAAACUUCUGAGUCACGAGACCCUCUUCUACGGUCACAGUGCUGAGAUCCAGCAGCUGGCAAACAGUGAUUUGAUCAGUGCGUUUUUGGAUAAGACAUUAGCUCAAGAGCCUGGUUGCAUGGAAGACGUGUACUCAUUUGCACAUUUCACCAUCCAGGAAUUUUUCGCAGCUCUCUACUACACCCUGGGAGAUCAACUCUCAAUGGACGUCCUUGACCCCAGUACUGACAUUGGUCAAGAGAUGAGCUUUGGGUAUCUUGACCUGUUCAAGAGGUUCCUCUCAGGGCUGCUUGCCGAGCGUAACUGGAACCUCCUCUCGCGAUACCUGCUGCUGGAGAGGAGUCAAAAAGCAGAGGCCUAUCUGCCUGGUUUGCUGACAGAGAUUGAGAACUUCUGUGAAAAUGGGAGCCACAUACUAAAUCAGCUCCACUGUUUCUUUGAACAGCAAAAUGACUCCCUGGCCAAGCAGAUCCACGCCAAGGUGCUGCGUGUGAAUAUUAGCAACAACACCCUGUGCCCAAUGGAUUAUACUGUGUUAAAGUACUUUUUGAACCUCAUGGAUGGUGAGAUAUCUGAACUGGAUCUGACAGCAACCAAUAUCACCUCAGAGUCUCUGAGGGACUUAAAGCCAUACCUGCUUAGGUGUGAGAACCUCUGGAUUGGGGAAAAUAAUCUUGACACUGAAGCAGUCCAUGUGCUUGCUGAGAUUUUGCAGUCAACAAGCAAGCUACUGAUCCUAGGCAUUGGCUGGACUCACAUUACAGAUGACAAAAUGCUGAUUCUAACUCAAGCUAUGAAAACAAAUCAAACCAUGACAGAGAUAUGGAUGGAAGGAAACCAAGUGACAUAUCAAGGCCUGUCUCCAUUUACUGAUCCCAACUCAUUCACCUCUCUAGAUAAAGUUGUCGCCAUUUGGAAUAACAUCAGUCAAGAGGAAACGGACACCCUCAACAGCACCUUUGGCGACUCACGGUGGAAAUACACUGGGUGAAGGCAUUCUGCAAGAAACUGAAUCAACUGAUCAAGACGAGGAUAGAGGAUAGUGCCGACGACGACGAACGACGAAAGACUGAAUGGCCGAUAUAUUCAAAUCUUCAAUUUCCAGUCUACUAACUUUU
Brienomyrus brachyistius is the source of this 4256-nucleotide RNA transcript. It is a transcript of the gene named La ribonucleoprotein 7, transcriptional regulator, with no coding region annotated. The record is from RefSeq and is a predicted model, not a curated record. The transcript has 8 exons. Lineage: Eukaryota; Metazoa; Chordata; Actinopteri; Osteoglossiformes; Mormyridae.